This 1116-nucleotide ribosomal RNA is filed under the name Oopsacas sp. SMF12068. RNAcentral describes it as "eukaryotic LSU rRNA". It matches the Rfam family "Eukaryotic large subunit ribosomal RNA", at positions 872 to 1847 of the family's 3401-position model. Lineage: Eukaryota; Metazoa; Porifera; Hexactinellida; Lyssacinosida; Leucopsacidae. The record is from RNAcentral.
AGCUCGUAGCGGGUUCUGACGUGCAAUUCGAUCGUCAAAUUUUGGGUAUAGGGGCGAAAGACUAAUCGAACCAUCUAGUAGCUGGUUCCCUCCGAAGUUUUCCCUCAGGAUAGCUGGAGCCCGGACUAUGUGUGUAGUUUUAUCAGGUAAAGCGAAUGAUUAGAGGUAUUGGGGUUGAAAUGACCUCAACCUAUUCUCAAACUUUAAAUGGGUAAGAGGCACAGCUUACUUAAGUGAAGUUGUGUGUGAGUUUAUGGUGUGAAUACAGGGGCUCUUAGUGGGCCAUUUUUGGUAAGCAGAACUGGCGAUGCGGGAUGAACCGAACGCUGGGUUAAGGUGCCCAAGUCAACGCUCAUGAGAUCCCAUGAAAGGUGUUGGUUGAUACAGACAGCAGGACGGUGGCCAUGGAAGUCGGAAUCCGCUAAGGAGUGUGUAACAACUCACCUGCCGAAUCAACUAGCCCUGAAAAUGGAUGGCGCUCAAGCGUUGCACCUAUCCCCGGCCGCCGUGUGGAGUAGGCCAGUGUUGGUGACACGGCGUGUAGGAGGGCGCGGGGCUGUGUGUGUGUAUGCUGUGCAGGCUGGUGCGUGAGCCCAGCUGAAGCCGGCCCUGGUGCAGAUCUUGGUGGUAGUAGCAAUUAUUCAAAUGAGAACUUUGAAGGCCGAAGUGGAGAAGGGUUCCACGUGAACAGCAUUUGGACGUGGGUGAGUCGGUCCUAAGAGAUGGGCGAAAGCCUGGUUAGCAAGGGUGCAGAUGUGCUGUCUCCUCACACGAGGCAAGCAUGUCCGGAUUGGUUCUUUGGGGCCACGGUGGCACCAGUUCUCGAAAGGGCAUCGGGUUAAUAUUCCCGAACCAGACACCUGGAUGCUGCUUGCAGUGGAGCACGGCAACGUAUAUGUAUGUGUAUACUCGGCGACGCUUACGAUAGCCCUGGGAAGAGUUGUCUUUUCUUCUUAACCGUACCAACCGUGUGCACAGCCCUGGAAGCAGUUUACCUUGAGAGAGGGCUGGAGGUCGGGUAAAGCGCUGCACUUAUUGCAGCGUCCAGUGCGCUGUCGAGAGCCCUUGAAAAGCUGAGUCAGGACUGGAUCAUGUUAGUCUCGUGUCUGGCCGUAC